UUUCUUAGAUAAUUAUACAUGAACCAUGAAAAUAACUCACGGAAAAGAUCCCAAACUAAACAAACAUGGCUAAAAGUGGGGUUUUUAUCUUUUCCUUAAACUAAGUAAGUUUAACAGAAUGGAAUUCCAAUAACAUAUAUAAAGAAGAAAACGACAAUUUAACUAAUUUUUAACAGAUUUACAUGAUGAUAACACUAAUAUAACAUUCAUCUUGAAACAAAAUCAGAUCUAACAUGUUCUAUCAACCAAAUCGGGAUCAAAUCCUUCUUAUUAUCAUCAAGAAUCUGCAAUAUAAGAAUUUGAAAGUUACCUGAUUUGCAGAAUAAUAAAAUACAGCAGUGCAACAACAAAAAUUCAACAGCAAAUACAGUAGAAACAACAUCAACUAAAGUGUUAAGUUGCCCAGAAAACUUAACAAAGAUGCUUGAAACUGAUAGCUAUCAACUUCACAAAUUGCUUCAGGGAUCUUUCUAUUUUUCUCAAAGUUUUUGCACUCAAAUAAUACUCACAAAGCUCUGAAAUUUCAGCUUGCUAUAUGUAUUAAGUUGCUGAUUUUUCUCAAAGAUAUAUGUCUUUAAGCAACUAUUCAAGAUGUAUCUCAGUGUAAGAUAGAGUGUCUGCCUUCUUCAGUGAGUAAGGAUAGCCCUUUAAAUAGGCAAAUAAAUUAGAUUUUUUGGACAGAUUUUGGUUUACUAAAAGUUUGUCCAAAAGAUCGAUUUUGUGUGCUAAACACUGUUCAAAAGUUGUCAAAAAAGUAUUGUAUUUGUCACCACACAAUGACUUUUGAGUUUUGCACUCCAAAGUCUUUGCACAGUAAAAACAACCCAACUUGUACUAUUCCUUCUUUAAUUUCAGCUUUUAUCAACACAAAAUUCAAAUACUCAAAUCUAAUAAAAACAAAUUUACUAAGCACUUGAAACUUUUAGCAUAAACUAUCAUGACUAAGCAAAUAGUUAUUUCAAAACUAAUGAAUAACUAAUUAUCAGUGAUUAAUAACUAUGAACGACUAAGUUAACAUAGUAAACACAACUAAUAAUAAAAAUAUAAAUAAAUAAAAAAAAUCAUAAAUUAUGCUAGACAUAAACUAAAUACAAUAUAAUUAAAAAAAAUAGACAAAGGAAAUGAGAAUAGGGGUAUACCAAACGAGGGCAUUCAGGAUGGUAGCCGGAAUUUGGCCGGAUUUUUAGUUGCUAGAUUUUCGGGAUGGAAUUGACACCAAUAGGUAGGUCUUGAUGAGAUAUAUCCGCUGAUGUAAGUAUUGUGGGGGUGGUAGUGGCCGGAACUUCAAGAGUUUGGGCAAAAAAGUGGCGGCUAAAGUUUUCUAGAUCUAAAAUUUAAGGAGUUUGAGGUAUUUUUUGAAGGAUUUGGUUUAGAGAUAUGGAAAAAGGAGGUUGUGGAGAUUACAUGGUGUGAAUUUGGAGGUGUUUGGAGGUUGGCCGCCGCCGGUGGGCGAUUUCCGGCGUGCGACAGUGGUGGUGGGGGGGCGGAUAUGGGAGAGAGAAGAGAGAGAGAGAGAAGAGAGAGGAAGAAGAAAAGAAUUAUGGGGGAAAUGAGGGCAUUUUUCAGAUUUU
RNAcentral lists this long non-coding RNA (1571 nucleotides) under Nicotiana tabacum (common tobacco). Its description in RNAcentral is "long non-coding RNA (NTAB_LNC009952)". Lineage: Eukaryota; Viridiplantae; Streptophyta; Magnoliopsida; Solanales; Solanaceae. The record is from RNAcentral.